GUGGNGGACUGANCCAGUUGCUGUUGAAGGCGCUGUUUAGGGUAAACCGAUGACUGGGGCU
RNAcentral lists this ribosomal RNA (61 nucleotides) under uncultured bacterium. RNAcentral describes it as "partial 16S ribosomal RNA". The record is from RNAcentral.